Molecule: ribosomal RNA, 776 nt
Filed under: Streptomyces flavovirens
Lineage: Bacteria; Bacillati; Actinomycetota; Actinomycetes; Kitasatosporales; Streptomycetaceae
Description: bacterial SSU rRNA
Rfam family: Bacterial small subunit ribosomal RNA
Source: RNAcentral
AGUCGACGAUGAAGCCCUUCGGGGUGGAUUAGUGGCGAACGGGUGAGUAACACGUGGGCAAUCUGCCCUUCACUCUGGGACAAGCCCUGGAAACGGGGUCUAAUACCGGAUAACACUCUGUCCCGCAUGGGACGGGGUUAAAAGCUCCGGCGGUGAAGGAUGAGCCCGCGGCCUAUCAGCUUGUUGGUGGGGUGAUGGCCUACCAAGGCGACGACGGGUAGCCGGCCUGAGAGGGCGACCGGCCACACUGGGACUGAGACACGGCCCAGACUCCUACGGGAGGCAGCAGUGGGGAAUAUUGCACAAUGGGCGAAAGCCUGAUGCAGCGACGCCGCGUGAGGGAUGACGGCCUUCGGGUUGUAAACCUCUUUCAGCAGGGAAGAAGCGAAAGUGACGGUACCUGCAGAAGAAGCGCCGGCUAACUACGUGCCAGCAGCCGCGGUAAUACGUAGGGCGCAAGCGUUGUCCGGAAUUAUUGGGCGUAAAGAGCUCGUAGGCGGCUUGUCACGUCGGAUGUGAAAGCCCGGGGCUUAACCCCGGGUCUGCAUUCGAUACGGGCUAGCUAGAGUGUGGUAGGGGAGAUCGGAAUUCCUGGUGUAGCGGUGAAAUGCGCAGAUAUCAGGAGGAACACCGGUGGCGAAGGCGGAUCUCUGGGCCAUUACUGACGCUGAGGAGCGAAAGCGUGGGGAGCGAACAGGAUUAGAUACCCUGGUAGUCCACGCCGUAAACGUUGGGAACUAGGUGUUGGCGACAUUCCACGUCGUCGGUGCCGCAGC